UAAACUCCAAACAGGCUCAUAUGCAGAAAAUAACAAAUGUAACUCCCUUGCAUCACUAAAAAAAUGCUAAGAAUACCGAAUAAACUUUUGGGGAAACCAUCGUUGGCCGGUUGUUCGCCUGCUUGGGUUUGCCGGAAAGAUAGGGACGAGGCGGCGGGAGCGGAAAGGGUAGAAAGUUACGGGAGGAUCCUAUGUGAACAUGUUACAGAGUAUCCAGAUUCAAAAUACGCCACUAGAGAAUCGGGGAAGUCAUCCAUGAUCCUCGAUCAAUAGGAGGAGGAGCUGUCUCUGGGAAGGAUGGGCAAAGUUUGAUAGGAUGAUUAAUCAACCCACAACCAUAGGAUACUUUGGGAAGCCUGUCAUAUUGGAAGCGAACGCACGGGCUUUUUCCAGGUUCGCCAUCGAAGUUCCGAGUUCUUGUUCCAUCCUUUAGCUCUCAGCGGCCAAGAAAGGACCUCUUCAACAUUGAUACACACAAAGCAAUGAGCAUAUUAGUCAUUAGAUCAUGUGCGAUCAAAGAUGUCCGCAUCCAGGACCUUCUCCAAGAUGGAAUAGAGACCGACAACAAUAUACGUGGAUAGGAAAUGAUUCGGGAGGUGAUGCAGGCAAACCCAGAAGUCAACGAACCGGAGCUUCGAGCAAAUGGAGGCCAAUGGUGUUUCCCAUGGGAAAACACUGAUUAAAUUAGUGUCAAAAGCCAAAGGCCGUUGGUCAAGAACCUUCUGAGCUUUCGCUGGAUCAGAGAAGAAGAACUCGAACAAGUUAUGUUCUUUCGGGAAGAUACAAAGUGAUCCGUGGAGAUGCCAUUUGUUGGCUAGCGUUUUCUGAACUAGCCGAAGAGAGCGUCCUUCCGGCCAGAAGAUACGGGCAAGAAGGCAUUGCUUCUUCUGCCAAUCAGUAGCGACAAGAAAAUGAAGCCAUAUAAUCGUUGGCGGUUAAAACAAAUACAGAGGUA
This 955-nucleotide long non-coding RNA is filed under the name Linum usitatissimum (flax). RNAcentral describes it as "long non-coding RNA (LUSI_LNC006037)". Lineage: Eukaryota; Viridiplantae; Streptophyta; Magnoliopsida; Malpighiales; Linaceae. The record is from RNAcentral.